GACGAACGCUGGCGGCGUGCUUGACACAUGCAAGUCGAACGGAAAGGCCUGCUUUCCCUUGUGGAUUGCGGGUACUCGAGUGGCGAACGGGUGAGUAACACGUGAGUGAUCUGCCCCCAACUUGGGUAUAAGCCUGGGAAACUGGGUCUAAUUCCCGAUAGGACUGCAGGGUGGUGCCUGUGGUGGAAAACGAUUUUCUAGUGGUUGGGGAUGAGCUCGCGGCCUAUCAGCUUGUUGGUGGGGUAAUGGCCUACCAAGGCGGCGACGGGUAGCCGGCCUGAGAGGGUGGACGGCCACAUUGGGACUGAGAUACGGCCCAGAAUCCGACGGGAGGCAGCAGUGGGGAAUAUUGCACAAUGGGCGGAAGCCUGAUGCAGCGACGCCGCGUGGGGGAUGACGGCCUUCGGGUUGUAAACUCCUUUCGACCGCGAGGAAGCCACCUGGUUGGAAGGGUGGUGACGGUAGUGGUAGAAGAAGCACCGGCUAACUACGUG
This 494-nucleotide ribosomal RNA is filed under the name uncultured bacterium. RNAcentral's name for it is "partial 16S ribosomal RNA". It matches the Rfam family "Bacterial small subunit ribosomal RNA", at positions 28 to 507 of the family's 1533-position model. The record is from RNAcentral.